GUUUUGUGUACAGAGGUCAAUGGAGAUGGAAAGUAUGAGCGGAUAAGUGGAACAAGCCUUUGGUGGAGGCACAGUUUUAGGUUUGAUGAAUUGCUUUGAGUUAAGUGAACAUGAAAAUAAGACGGAGUUAUUGACAUGCUUGUGGUGGGGAUAUCUACGGUGGAACAGAUUCUUUAAAGGAUCAAGAUGGAGCACAGUUCAGAGGAUACCAAUACCAAUCUCAAGGAGAAGGUCUUA
This is a non-coding RNA of Camelina sativa (false flax), 237 nucleotides long. The record is from RefSeq and is a predicted model, not a curated record. NCBI's taxonomy places the organism in Eukaryota, Viridiplantae, Streptophyta, Magnoliopsida, Brassicales, Brassicaceae.